This 467-nucleotide ribosomal RNA is filed under the name uncultured bacterium. RNAcentral describes it as "partial 16S ribosomal RNA". It matches the Rfam family "Bacterial small subunit ribosomal RNA", at positions 28 to 506 of the family's 1533-position model. The record is from RNAcentral.
GACGAACGCUGGCGGCGUGCUUAACACAUGCAAGUCGAACGGAAAGGCCCUGCUUUUGUGGGGUGCUCGAGUGGCGAACGGGUGAGUAACACGUGAGUAACCUGCCCUUGACUUUGGGAUAACUUCAGGAAACUGGGGCUAAUACCGGAUAGGAGCUCCUGCUGCAUGGUGGGGGUUGGAAAGUUUCGGCGGUUGGGGAUGGACUCGCGGCUUAUCAGCUUGUUGGUGGGGUAGUGGCUUACCAAGGCUUUGACGGGUAGCCGGCCUGAGAGGGUGACCGGCCACAUUGGGACUGAGAUACGGCCCAGACUCCUACGGGAGGCAGCGGUGGGGAUUAUUGCACAAUGGGCGGAAGCCUGAUGCAGCAACGCCGCGUGCGGGAUGACGGCCUUCGGGUUGUAAACCGCUUUCGCCUGUGACGAAGCGUGAGUGACGGUAAUGGGUAAAGAAGCACCGGCUAACUACGU